RNAcentral lists this transfer RNA (78 nucleotides) under Planctomycetes bacterium GWA2_50_13. RNAcentral describes it as "tRNA-Pro". It matches the Rfam family "tRNA". Rfam says of the family: Transfer RNA (tRNA) molecules are approximately 80 nucleotides in length. Their secondary structure includes four short double-helical elements and three loops (D, anti-codon, and T loops). Lineage: Bacteria; Pseudomonadati; Planctomycetota. The record is from RNAcentral. RNAcentral also lists the same sequence under 7 other names.
CGGGGCGUGGCUCAGUCUGGCUAGAGCGCGGCGUUCGGGACGCCGAGGUCGCUGGUUCGAAUCCAGUCGCCCCGACCA